Gymnodraco acuticeps is the source of this 261-nucleotide long non-coding RNA. RefSeq lists it as uncharacterized. Lineage: Eukaryota; Metazoa; Chordata; Actinopteri; Perciformes; Bathydraconidae. The record is from RefSeq and is a predicted model, not a curated record. The transcript is spliced from 3 exons.
UUUCCUCUUUCCACCCACAACCUUCUCUUCCCGUUAUCACGCACACUGCUUCUCUGCAAGAACAGCUUAAACAAGUGUUGCAAUGGAGGGAACUGAGUCAACAACAAGAGAGAGAUCAACAGCAAAGGAUGGGAACAAGGCAGCAGACCAAGAGGUGCUGAUGUCCAGCAAACCGCUGCAUCGCUUCGUCCAAAGAGAGCCCAGAGAUGUUGGGAUUGCCAUUCUGAUCUUUGGCUGUGCCGAGGUCAUGAUGGGAUUUAC